This 125-nucleotide small RNA is filed under the name Marmota monax (woodchuck). The record is from RNAcentral. Lineage: Eukaryota; Metazoa; Chordata; Mammalia; Rodentia; Sciuridae.
GCCGGGCAUGGUGGCCCAUGCCUGUAAUCCCAGCGAGUCAGGAGGCUGAGGUAGGAGGAUUGUGAGUUCAAAGCCAGCCUCAGCAAAAGUGAGGAACUAAGCAACUCAGUGAGACCCUGUCUCUA